Molecule: long non-coding RNA, 605 nt
Organism: Numida meleagris (helmeted guineafowl)
Lineage: Eukaryota; Metazoa; Chordata; Aves; Galliformes; Numididae
Exons: 3
Source: RefSeq, a predicted model, not a curated record
UAGCCUCUAAAGGAAGGAUGUCUCUUGGGUGAAGGUUGCUUCUGAAAAGGAGUGCUCUGUAGUUAGAGUCCCUGCCACUGUUUGGAAGGAAAUCAGGAUUCUGUCACCAGAGAAUUUUUGGAUGAAGUGCUUUUGUAAGUCUGACAACUUUAUCAAACAACGCAUUCGAGAAGUCAAGGGUUGCUGCUGUCACCAUAGGCCUCUGAGCCUGCUUUCAAAGACCUACAACUUUCUGUCUCUACUGAAGCCAGAGUAGAAGCUGACAAGACAAAGCUGUAUUUCCUUCUUUGAUUAGCUGCUUCUUGGAUGCUCAACACUUGCUCUUUUUCACCCUGCCUUUGUGCAUUCAUCUCUGAAUAUAAAUUCUGUAUCACAAAUAAAUAAUCCCACUCUGAAUGAGUAUGCCUGUUUUGGAACAUCUCACUUUGGGAGAGGUAAGUCUCGUUGCAAAUAAUGAAGUGAACUACUGGUCUGUAUUUAAAAUGAAGCUAAGAAAUAAUGUGGCUACCUAUGGCAGUCACUCCAAAAGAAAUGCCUUGAAUUUAUUUACACGGAAAUUAUAACAAAGAGCUCAGUAACUCUACUUGACAGCAAAUUCUCAGCUA